UCCUUUUCGGGUCCAAACCUGCUUUCUUUUCAAUUCAACAUACUCUUCCUCAUCAUCAUAACAAUCACCACAAUAAAUCUACUUCAAAUCAACAAUUAAACUCAUACAAUAUUCAAAUCCAACAACCAAAAUUCAACUAAGAAUCAUAGUUCACAAAUCCUAGGCUUUUAACACAAAUACCUCAAAUCAAUAAUUCACCAAAUCGUUAGUUAAUAACUAAUUAUCCAAUAAACUUCAACCAAAUAUAUAUAUUCAUCGACAAAUUACUAAACAUUAAGCAUACACCUGCAUUCCAACUUAUCCUAUGGUCAUCUAGCCUAAGUUUUCACAGAACAUUAUAUAUUAAAUGCAAGAAACCUAAACCAUACCUUGGCCGAUUUCCACGUAACGACCAAAGCUAUUUAUUCAAAACCAAGACAACCCCUCAAAACUCAACUAAUCCGCUUCCUCCAAGUUCCAGUAUUCACAAUUUCAAGCUCCAAUUAUUUAUUUUCAACCUAAUACACAUUCAUAAUACAUAUAUACCCAAUUUAAUACUCAAAGCUCAAAUUUAAUGAAAAUAAAAUAGAAUUAUCGUAUCCUCAUCUUACCCAAGCUUCACACAAGCAAGAGUGAACGUUUCUCUCAAGCUAAUUGGAUCCUAAAACAUCAAAAAUCAAAGAAAUUCAAUAUUCCCACUUAAAAUUCGAAAAUUGGGGGAAGAUGAAGCUGAGAGUGAAAUAACAAGUUACCAGUGAAAUUGUUCCAGUAGAAAUGUAGAGCUCAAAAGUUACCUAUGAAAUUGUUUCGGUAGAAAUGUAGAGCUCGACGCGGUGAACGCGUGGCCGCAAACGGUGCGGCGAUCGGAGCUCGAACGGAGGAGUUACGGGAUUUGGAAAGUAACGUGAGGGUUACGGGAUUUUUUUUUUUCUCGUUCUUCCCUCCCCUGGAAGCUGAAAGCUUCGC
Molecule: long non-coding RNA, 945 nt
Filed under: Arachis ipaensis
Lineage: Eukaryota; Viridiplantae; Streptophyta; Magnoliopsida; Fabales; Fabaceae
Description: long non-coding RNA (AIPA_LNC001625)
Source: RNAcentral